AACGAACGCUGGCGGCAGGCUUAACACAUGCAAGUCGAACGCGAAAGUCCCGCAAGGGAUGAGUAGAGUGGCAAACGGGUGAGUAACACGUGGGUGACCUGCCUUCGAGCGGGGGAUAACGUCCCGAAAGGGACGCUAAUACCGCAUAACAUCCUGUCCUUUAAGAGAUGGCGAUCAAAGCCGGGGAUUCGCAAGAACCUGGCACUUGAAGAGGGGCCCGCGCCUGAUUAGCUAGUUGGGGGGUAAUGGCUCACCAAGGCAACGAUCAGUAUCCGGCCUGAGAGGGCGGACGGACACACUGGGACUGAGACACGGCCCAGACUCCUACGGGAGGCAGCAGUGGGGAAUUGUUCGCAAUGGGCGCAAGCCUGGCGACGCAACGCCGCGUGGAGGAUGAAGACC
Molecule: ribosomal RNA, 402 nt
Filed under: uncultured bacterium
Lineage: Bacteria
Description: bacterial SSU rRNA
Rfam family: Bacterial small subunit ribosomal RNA
Source: RNAcentral